ACGGAAGGCAGCAGUGAGGAAUAUUGGUCAAUGGUCGGAAGACUGACCCAGCCAAGUAGCGUGAAGGAUGACUGCCCUAUGGGUUGUAAACUUCUUUUAUGCGGGAAUAAAAAGGAUUACGUGUAGUCUGUUGCAUGUACCGCAUGAAUCAGGAUCGGCUAAUUCCGUGCCAGCAGCCGCGGUAAUACGGAAGAUCCAAGCGUUAUCCGGAUUUAUUGGGUUUAAAGGGAGCGUAGGCGGGCCUUUAAGUCAGUGGUCAAAGCGUGUGGCUCAACCAUACCACGCCGUUGAUACUGGAGGCCUUGAGUGCACAUAAGGAUGGUGGAAUUCAUGGUGUAGCGGUGAAAUGCUUAGAUAUCAUGAAGAACUCCGAUUGCGAAGGCAGCUGUCCGGGGUGUAACUGACGCUAAUGCUCGAAAGUGCGGGUAUCAAACAGGAUUAAAUACCCUGGUA
Molecule: ribosomal RNA, 453 nt
Filed under: uncultured Prevotellaceae bacterium
Lineage: Bacteria; Pseudomonadati; Bacteroidota; Bacteroidia; Bacteroidales; Prevotellaceae
Description: partial 16S ribosomal RNA
Rfam family: Bacterial small subunit ribosomal RNA
Source: RNAcentral